This 491-nucleotide ribosomal RNA is filed under the name uncultured bacterium. RNAcentral's name for it is "partial 16S ribosomal RNA". It matches the Rfam family "Bacterial small subunit ribosomal RNA", at positions 30 to 506 of the family's 1533-position model. The record is from RNAcentral.
AUUGAACGCUGGCGGCAUGCUUUACACAUGCAAGUCGAACGGUAACAGGCCUUCGGGUGCUGACGAGUGGCGAACGGGUGAGUAAUGCAUCGGAACGUGCCCAGAGGUGGGGGAUAACGCAGCGAAAGCUGUGCUAAUACCGCAUGUGAUCUGAGGAUGAAAGCGGGGGACCAGGCAGCAAUGUUUGGCCUCGCGCCUUUGGAGCGGCCGAUGUCAGAUUAGGUAGUUGGUGGGGUAAAGGCCUACCAAGCCGACGAUCUGUAGCUGGUCUGAGAGGACGACCAGCCACACUGGGACUGAGACACGGCCCAGACUCCUACGGGAGGCAGCAGUGGGGAAUUUUGGACAAUGGGCGCAAGCCUGAUCCAGCAAUGCCGCGUGCGGGAAGAAGGCCUUCGGGUUGUAAACCGCUUUUGUACGGAACGAAAAGGCUCUGGCUAAGACCUGGGGCUGAUGACGGUACCGUAAGAAUAAGCACCGGCUAACUACGU